GACAGGUGCACUACUUACUUAGAUGAUUGAGACAGGUGCACUACUUACUUAGAUGAUUGAGACAGGUGCACUACUUAGAUGAAUGAGACAGGUGCACUACUUACUUAGAUGAUUGAGACAGGUCCACCACUCACUUAGAUGAUUGAGACAGGUGCAACACUCACUUAGAUGAUUGAGACAGGUGCACUACUUACUUAGAUGAUUGAGACAGGUGCACCACUCACUUAGAUGAUUGAGACAGGUGCACCACUUACUUAGAUAAUUGAGACAGGUACACUACUUAGAUGAUUGAGACAGGUGCACUACUUAGAUGAUUGAGACAGGUGCACUACUUAGAUGAUUGAGACAGGUGCACUACUUACUUAGAUGAAUGAGACAGGUGUACCACUUACUUAGAUGAUUGAGACAGGUGCACCACUUACUUAGAUAAUUGAGACAGGUACACUACUUAGAUGAUUGAGACAGGUGCACUACUUAGAUGAUUGAGACAGGUGCACUACUUAGAUGAUUGAGACAGGUGCACUACUUAGAUGAUUGAGACAGGUGCACUACUUACUUAGAUGAAUGAGACAGGUGUACCACUCACUUAAAUGAUUGAGACAGGUGCACCACUUACUUAGAUGAUUGAGACAGGUGCACCAAGUUAUCACCUGUUGUUUGUCAACGGUCAAUAUUCUGGGAACAAGGGGAAACAACGUUCGGUUGUGUAGUGUCUAUGAGGUCAUGUGACAGUUGACGGGGCACGGAGUUGUUGCCCUUAGAUGACAACCUAUUGGCUGUUAGACACAUUGUCGCUUUGACCUUUAGGAUGUUCCAAGGUCAGUUCAAGGUCACUUGCUCAUGUAUUUAUUUAUUGCUGUUACAUUUCUGUGCGGUACAGGGUUGACUUAUUUACUGAUGGUUAUUGGUAUGUUUUUUUGUAACAUUUACUGGGUGAUUUUUUGGUCUUUUAUUCCUCUACAAGUUUUGUGAUGCAUUUUUUGAUUUGUUGAUGUUAUCCAAAUAUCCACGUCCUUUA
Aplysia californica (California sea hare) is the source of this 1018-nucleotide long non-coding RNA. RefSeq lists it as uncharacterized. The record is from RefSeq and is a predicted model, not a curated record. Lineage: Eukaryota; Metazoa; Mollusca; Gastropoda; Aplysiida; Aplysiidae. The transcript is spliced from 2 exons.